RNAcentral lists this unclassified non-coding RNA (570 nucleotides) under Rhopalomesites proximus. RNAcentral describes it as "sequence contains ITS2". The stretch from base 1 to 106 matches the Rfam family "5.8S ribosomal RNA", at positions 50 to 154 of the family's 154-position model. The record is from RNAcentral. Lineage: Eukaryota; Metazoa; Arthropoda; Insecta; Coleoptera; Curculionidae.
UAAUUGCGCGUCAACUUGUGAACUGCAGGACACAUGAACAUCGACAUUUCGAACGCACAUUGCGGUCCUUGGAUUCUGUUCCUGGACCACUCCUGGCUGAGGGUCGUGUCUAAUACAAAGACUGCUCGGUGUCGUCGAUGGCGAUAGAAUAACGCCGUCCGACACGUCGGAGCGAGAUGGACGUUUUACGCGUCCCGACCGUUAUUUACGAUCGGGACGCGACGCCCGAAAUCACGAAAGUGGUCCGCUAUAAUCGAAUAAUUGUUGUUCGAUUAUACGGACGAAAGCAUCGUCGUCUCGACGUGUAUAUGCGUAAAGCACGCGAAAUUGCCUUCGCUGCUGCCAUACAUGCGAUCGUCGUGUCCGAUAUUUCUGAACAUAAAAAACGGAAAUGAGACGUCUGAUCGUUUCUGUCUAUCUAUCUCGAUAGAUGGAUGGAGUGGUAGCGAGCGAGCGAGAGUGCGAUUGUUAGAUCGCGUUUACGUUCCUAAAAACACGUUUGGAUGUCGUUGCUGGAAUUAUAUUCAAAUUAUCGACCUCAGAGCAGGUGAGACUACCCGCUGAAUUUAA